Molecule: long non-coding RNA, 626 nt
Filed under: Equus caballus (horse)
Lineage: Eukaryota; Metazoa; Chordata; Mammalia; Perissodactyla; Equidae
Description: lncRNA (ENSECAG00000044108.1)
Source: RNAcentral
GUGUCUCCCAGGUCUGGAGCUCCGGGUUACAGGAAUGCCCCACUGAAGGCUGGAGAAAAUGGAGGAUUGAGUGAGGCCUUUGUGACGGAGACAGCUUGGAGGUGGAGGAAGGCCAUCCUGACUCACACUUCCCCUUGCAGAACUUCUCUGUGACCUUGGAGACAUCACUCAACCUUCAGGAAUUCGUCAGCCCUCUCUGUGCCUCUCUGCUUACCUUCUGUACAGUGGGACUGUGGCAGGUGCUCAACGUGUAAAUUGCUUCAUAACUCAGGAGCAAGGAAGGAGCCAGGAGAUUACGAGAUGAGGAGGGUGGUCCCAGCCCUGCAUGCUGUCACCACUGUGGGUGUCCCCCACAGGGACCUGAAAUCAGCUGGGAAGAGUGGCUUCUCUUGGCGCCAUUACCAGCCUGUGACCUUGGCAAGUCACUCAGCCUCUUUCCUCUAACAUCAGUUAAACAGGGGUAGGACGUCUCCUCUUUCUACCUCCAAAGGUAUUUAUUUUGAGAAGCAAAGCCCAUAACGGAUGUGAAAAUGCUUUGGGGGAGAAAACAGAAAGCAUGAUACAAAUGUAAGCUUCUUGUUGUAACUUUAUCAUGCUGCUUGUUAUGCUUUUGUUUUCUCUUCCAG